AGAACAACUCUCAGCAACGGAUAUCUUGGCUCUUGCAACGAUGAAGAACGCAGCGAAAUGCCAUACGUAGUGUGAAUUGCAGAAUUCCGCGAAUCAUCGAGUUUUUGAACGCAAGUUGCGCCCGAGGCUUGUCCGAGGGCAUUUCCGCUAGAGCGUCACC
Molecule: ribosomal RNA, 160 nt
Filed under: Bryum argenteum var. muticum
Lineage: Eukaryota; Viridiplantae; Streptophyta; Bryopsida; Bryales; Bryaceae
Description: 5.8S ribosomal RNA
Rfam family: 5.8S ribosomal RNA
About the family: 5.8S ribosomal RNA (5.8S rRNA) is a component of the large subunit of the eukaryotic ribosome. It is transcribed by RNA polymerase I as part of the 45S precursor that also contains 18S and 28S rRNA.
Source: RNAcentral